Molecule: transfer RNA, 73 nt
Filed under: Pythium insidiosum
Lineage: Eukaryota; Oomycota; Peronosporomycetes; Pythiales; Pythiaceae
Description: tRNA-Ala
Source: RNAcentral
CCGAUUGGCUCAGUCGGUUUGGGUGUCAGCAUGGCGUGCUGGCGGUCGCGGGUUCGAUUCCCGGCGUCGUAGA